RNAcentral lists this ribosomal RNA (483 nucleotides) under uncultured bacterium. Its description in RNAcentral is "bacterial SSU rRNA". It matches the Rfam family "Bacterial small subunit ribosomal RNA", at positions 30 to 510 of the family's 1533-position model. The record is from RNAcentral.
AUUGAACGCUGGCGGAAUGCUUUACACAUGCAAGUCGAACGGUAGAGGGGGCAACCCCUUGAGAGUGGCGAACGGGUGAGUAAUAUAUCGGAACGUGCCCAGUCGUGGGGAUAACGUAGCGAAAGUUACGCUAAUACCGCAUACGAUCUAAGGAUGAAAGCGGGGGACUCGCAAGAGCCUCGCGCGAUUGGAGCGGCCGAUAUCAGAUUAGGUAGUUGGUGGGGUAAAGGCUCACCAAGCCAACGAUCUGUAGCUGGUCUGAGAGGACGACCAGCCACACUGGAACUGAGACACGGUCCAGACUCCUACGGGAGGCAGCAGUGGGGAAUUUUGGACAAUGGACGCAAGUCUGAUCCAGCCAUUCCGCGUGCAGGAUGAAGGCCCUCGGGUUGUAAACUGCUUUGUACGGAACGAAACGGUGAGCUCUAAUACAGUUUGCUAAUGACGGUACCGUAAGAAUAAGCACCGGCUAACUACGUGCCA